This 224-nucleotide ribosomal RNA is filed under the name uncultured bacterium. RNAcentral describes it as "partial 16S ribosomal RNA". It matches the Rfam family "Bacterial small subunit ribosomal RNA", at positions 15 to 230 of the family's 1533-position model. The record is from RNAcentral.
GAUCCUGGCUCAGGAUGAACGCUAGCUACAGGCUUAACACAUGCAAGUCGAGGGGCAGCAUGGUCUUAGCUUGCUAAGACUGAUGGCGACCGGCGCACGGGUGAGUAACACGUAUCCAACCUGCCGUCUACUCUUGGACAGCCUUCUGAAAGGAAGAUUAAUACAAGAUGGCAUCAUGAGUCCGCAUGUUCACAUGAUUAAAGGUAUUCCGGUAGACGAUGCGG